This is a long non-coding RNA of Hibiscus syriacus, 1272 nucleotides long. RefSeq lists it as uncharacterized. Lineage: Eukaryota; Viridiplantae; Streptophyta; Magnoliopsida; Malvales; Malvaceae. The record is from RefSeq and is a predicted model, not a curated record. The transcript is spliced from 3 exons.
UCAAAUCACGGUUGACUGAGUAUAUUGUUGAGCAAAGCGAGAUGAUUCAUUGCUGUUAUAAGAGAGAAGAUUCAGCAGAGUGUUACUAGGUCGGGAUUUGUGAAUUUAGGGCAAAAAUGGCGAGAGAAAAAUCUAGCAAGGACAAUGCACAAGCUCUCUUCCAUUCUCUUCGUUCUGCGUAUGCUGCCACUCCUCUCAAUCUCAAGAUCAUCCAUCUUCGGAACUUCCUUGAUCUUUAGUCACCCAAUUUCAUCGAUUUGUUCUUACGGCUACGGGGAUUAUAGUUCUUUCGUUUCACAUUAUAUUUCACCCGUCGUAGCAAUCUUCCUUUAAAUGCACUUUAAAAGUAGAUCAUUAGAAUAGGAAAUUAGAAAUCGCAAAGGUGUAUUGAAUGAAUUUGAUAAAUAUCAUGCCGAACAUUUUGAAAUUCGACGAAAACCAGCUUACAGUAGAGCGAUUACUGUUUACUUAUUGGAUUAAGGUCGUGCAUCUUUUGAACUUUUUGUUUGUUUGUGUAGUAUCAGGAUAAUAUUUAAUUUAGUUGAUUAUAUGUUCUUAAAUCCUGACUUCCAUUGAGGAUCCACAGGUGGUUUACAUGGCUAGUGUGGGAUCAUUUCCUUUCAAUUCCUUUCUUUCUGGGGUGCUUUCUUGUGUUGGGACAGCUGUCCUUGCUGUUUGUCUUCGUAUUCAAGUGAACAAGGAAAACAAGGAAUUCAAGGUAAGCUUUUUCAAAUUCUCCGCGUUACAUUCCAGUAGUUUGUGAGGCCGGGGAAGAAAAGCAAAAUCAGAUGAUCUGAUUAUCCUUAUAACUUCAAAUUGAGGUGUUCAAUUCCUUUGAAGUUGUUUUCCCCCUUUAUCGCCCAAGGGUUUAGUUGGGGGAACUGGGCGUUGUAUAUAGGUGUGAACAUCCGACUGCAUGCUAAAUCCUCAACUUUAUAAUGCUCAUAUUAGUUGCUGGAUCUAGCACCCAAGCGAGCUUUUGCAGAUUUUGUUCUUUGCAAUUUGGUGCUCCAUUUGGUGAUCAUGAAUUUCCUUGGAUAAAAUCGUAUCACCGGGUUCAUCGGACUGCUGUUUUCUCUGCUUCUGGCAAUGAUUCAUAUUUAUAACAUGAAUUGAAAUUCUUAGGUCAUCCAGACUGUAGCUUGUGGGUGCAGCACACGCCUAAUCCGGCGGAUUGUAGUAGGAUUGUUUAUUUUUAUCAUUGGCUAAAGAAUUUCAAGAUCAGUUGAUGGGAAACGAUAGACAUUUGGGUAUCGAUUUGCUCAUUCUGAU